Molecule: long non-coding RNA, 273 nt
Filed under: Mytilus galloprovincialis (Mediterranean mussel)
Lineage: Eukaryota; Metazoa; Mollusca; Bivalvia; Mytilida; Mytilidae
Source: RNAcentral
CCUGUUCGAAGGGUUUUACACUAGUAAUUUAGGGGUCCUUUAUCAUGUUUAUAGCUUGUUGUUCCGUGUGAGCCAAGGCUCUGUGUUGAAGGCCGUCCAUUGACCUAUAAUGGUUUACUUUUACAAAUUGUUAUUUGGAUGGAUAGUUGUCUCAUUGGCACUCAUACCACAUCUUCCUAUAUCUAUCUACUGAAUGUUUUCUAUUUCAAUGGGUUGUAUUUAAAAAAAAAAGGAUUUGAAGCAACCAUUAUUUUUAAAUUAGGAGAAAAAAAA